UGUAUAUUUUUAUGUUAAGUGUUCUUGUAAGUCUUAGCCUCAUAUUGGAAUUGGGAUGGAUAAUGACACAACUCGACCACACAAUUUACUAAAGAAACUACUCUGCAUGAUAAUUCUGCUGCUACUCAAAAGGCUACUCGCCAAAAUAAAAUGGAUUAUAUAUACCCAUUAUACCUUGCCUUACGACAGUCAUAAAUACCUUGCCUGAGGAUAAUACAUUGAAUAAUACAUUUAUAUACAUACAUUACAUACAUUAUAAGACUUUGCCAGAAAGAUUGGAUAGUGUUAAUU
This 291-nucleotide small RNA is filed under the name Drosophila willistoni. RNAcentral's name for it is "GK28090". Lineage: Eukaryota; Metazoa; Arthropoda; Insecta; Diptera; Drosophilidae. The record is from RNAcentral.